Zootermopsis nevadensis is the source of this 846-nucleotide non-coding RNA. Lineage: Eukaryota; Metazoa; Arthropoda; Insecta; Blattodea; Termopsidae. The record is from RefSeq and is a predicted model, not a curated record.
ACAAAAGGGGAGUAAGAAGUGAUCCCAGGAUGUCACUGGAUUGGAAAAUCAAAAGGGAGUCAGGAGAGAUGAACGUGCGGCCUGGAACCGAACCACAGACCACAAGACAAGUAACUGCUUGAGCCUCAAACACAAGGUAACGAGCAAAGUAGACUCACAACAAGUGAACACUCACCUCAUCACAUUCAUACACUACAAAGCCACGACACAUCAAUGCCUGAACAAGAGAGUGGCACUGCGUACGGCCGAGUCGAAAACGAGCGAUCUGCUCCCGUCGCCACCGGUAUGACUCACACUGUCUUCACCUGAAAAUGAAACAAAACCUCGUGUUCCUCAUUAGCGAAGCGGCAAAACUGUGAGACAGCCGUACGACGAGCACGCGCUGCUUCCUUGUAAAGCGCUGAACUGAUGUCUCCUUAAAACGAAUGUUGCAGACUCUGCAAGAUGUCCUCUCUGUGGUUACAGCGACAUGAAUCACUCAAAUCAAACCAGCACACCAUCAGCAAGGAAAGAGAGACCGGCCUCUCGGAUAACCUAACCUAAACUUGCCACACACUGAUGCAUGAACCCAGGCAUCCACCACGACAGGGUCCUUCUCGUCACAACGAAACCAGAAAACGGCGUGUCAUAACAAACCACAACAAUACCUGAACGUGUCACGUCACAAAAACCUGUGAACUGAGAAAACGCUGCAGGUAAAUGAGAGGAAUUCUGGCAUUUCUCGUAAGGAAUCAAGGAAACCAAUAAAGCAAGAUCAGGGAAAUUGAUAAAAAGAAAAAUGGGUUGUAUAAAUUUUAGGGGUCCAUACCUUUAAUUGAUGAAGCAAUUAAAAAGAAAUUUACAGUA